This 394-nucleotide ribosomal RNA is filed under the name uncultured Alphaproteobacteria bacterium. RNAcentral describes it as "bacterial SSU rRNA". It matches the Rfam family "Bacterial small subunit ribosomal RNA", at positions 9 to 430 of the family's 1533-position model. Lineage: Bacteria; Pseudomonadati; Pseudomonadota; Alphaproteobacteria. The record is from RNAcentral.
GAGUUUGAUCCUGGCUCAGAACGAACGCUGGCGGCAGGCCUAACACAUGCAAGUCGAACGCUGUAGCAAUACAGAGUGGCAGACGGGUGAGUAACACGUGGGAAUCUUCCUAUCGGUACGGAAUAGCUCAGGGAAACUUGGGGUAAUACCGCAUACGCCCUUCGGGGAAGGAUUAUCGCCGAUAGAUGAGCCCGCGUCUGAUUAGCUAGUUGGUGAGGUAAUGGCUCACCAAGGCGACGAUCAGUAGCUGGUCUGAGAGGAUGACCAGCCACACUGGGACUGAGACACGGCCCAGACUCCUACGGGAGGCGAGCAGUGGGGAAGUAAUUGGACAAUGGGCGCAAGCCUGAUCCAGCCAUGCCGCGUGAGUGACGAAGGUCUUCGGAUUGUAAAG